AACGAACGCUGGCGGCAGGCUUAACACAUGCAAGUCGAGCGAAGACUUCGGCUUAGCGGCGGACGGGUGAGUAACGCGUGGGAACGUGCCUUUCACUACGGAAUAGUCCCGGGAAACUGGGUUUAAUACCGUAUACGCCCUUCGGGGGAAAGAAUUUCGGUGAGAGAUCGGCCCGCGUCUGAUUAGGUAGUUGGUGGGGUAAUGGCCUACCAAGCCGACGAUCAGUAGCUGGUUUGAGAGGAUGAUCAGCCACACUGGGACUGAGACACGGCCCAGACUCCUACGGGAGGCAGCAGUGAGGAAUCUUGGACAAUGGGGGCAACCCUGAUCCAGCCAUGCCGCGUGAACGAUGAAGGCCUUAGGGUUGUAAAGUUCUUUCAACGGUGAAGAUAAUGACGGUAGCCGUAGAAGAAACCCCGGCUAACUCCGUG
RNAcentral lists this ribosomal RNA (431 nucleotides) under uncultured bacterium. Its description in RNAcentral is "bacterial SSU rRNA". It matches the Rfam family "Bacterial small subunit ribosomal RNA", at positions 29 to 507 of the family's 1533-position model. The record is from RNAcentral.